GACGAACGCUGGCGGCGUGCUAAUACAUGCAAGUAGAACGCUGAAGGAGGAGCUUGCUUUCUCUGGAUGAGUUGCGAACGGGUGAGUAACGCGUAGGUAACCUGCCUGGUAGCGGGGGAUAACUAUUGGAAACGAUAGCUAAUACCGCAUAAGAGUGGAUGUUGCAUGACAUUUGCUUAAAAGGUGCACUUGCAUCACUACCAGAUGGACCUGCGUUGUAUUAGCUAGUUGGUGGGGUAAGGGCUCACCAAGGCGACGAUACAUAGCCGACCUGAGAGGGUGAUCGGCCACACUGGGACUGAGACACGGCCCAGACUCCUACGGGAGGCAGCAGUAGGGAAUCUUCGGCAAUGGACGGAAGUCUGACCGAGCAACGCCGCGUGAGUGAAGAAGGUUUUCGGAUCGUAAAGCUCUGUUGUAAGAGAAGAACGAGUGUGAGAGUGGAAAGUUCACACUGUGACGGUAUCUUACCAGAAAGGGACGGCUAACUACGUGCCAGCAGCCGCGGUAAUACGUAGGUCCCGAGCGUUGUCCGGAUUUAUUGGGCGUAAAGCGAGCGCAGGCGGUUAGAUAAGUCUGAAGUUAAAGGCUGUGGCUUAACCAUAGUAGGCUUUGGAAACUGUUUAACUUGAGUGCAAGAGGGGAGAGUGGAAUUCCAUGUGUAGCGGUGAAAUGCGUAGAUAUAUGGAGGAACACCGGUGGCGAAAGCGGCUCUCUGGCUUGUAACUGACGCUGAGGCUCGAAAGCGUGGGGAGCAAACAGG
Molecule: ribosomal RNA, 763 nt
Filed under: uncultured Streptococcus sp.
Lineage: Bacteria; Bacillati; Bacillota; Bacilli; Lactobacillales; Streptococcaceae
Description: bacterial SSU rRNA
Rfam family: Bacterial small subunit ribosomal RNA
Source: RNAcentral